RNAcentral lists this long non-coding RNA (295 nucleotides) under Capsella rubella. RNAcentral's name for it is "long non-coding RNA (CRUB_LNC002221)". The record is from RNAcentral. Lineage: Eukaryota; Viridiplantae; Streptophyta; Magnoliopsida; Brassicales; Brassicaceae.
UUUUCUAUUUUUUUAUUACAAUACUUUGUAAUAUUAUUAGCAUUUGUGUUGUAGGCUUAUCUUCUUCAAGCGACAGCUUCUUAAGAGCUCUAUCCAACGCAUACUCCAUACUUCACCCAAGUUCAAAACAAAACGCUGCAAACAUAGUGAACCGAACAUUUUCACCGAACAAGAACACGGCAGCGGAAAAAAAACUAGGUUAAACUUCAAAAGAUCUUCAAAGAUUAAGAUCCAAACAGAAAAAUCAAUCCAAAUGCGACGAAAAAAGGAAAUAUUCCCGGUUACUGAAGCUUAC